UACGAAGGGGGCUAGCGUUGCGCGGAAUCACUGGGCGUAAAGGGUGCGUAGGCGGGUCUUUAAGUCAGGGGUGAAAUCCUGGAGCUCAACUCCAGAACUGCCUUUGAUACUGAAGAUCUUGAGUUCGGGAGAGGUGAGUGGAACUGCGAGUGUAGAGGUGAAAUUCGUAGAUAUUCGCAAGAACACCAGUGGCGAAGGCGGCUCACUGGCCCGAUACUGACGCUGAGGCACGAAAGCGUGGGGAGCAAACAGG
RNAcentral lists this ribosomal RNA (253 nucleotides) under uncultured bacterium. RNAcentral describes it as "partial 16S ribosomal RNA". It matches the Rfam family "Bacterial small subunit ribosomal RNA", at positions 524 to 776 of the family's 1533-position model. The record is from RNAcentral.